Molecule: non-coding RNA, 525 nt
Filed under: Georgenia sp. SUBG003
Lineage: Bacteria; Bacillati; Actinomycetota; Actinomycetes; Allobogoriellales; Allobogoriellaceae
Description: bacterial SSU rRNA
Rfam family: Bacterial small subunit ribosomal RNA
Source: RNAcentral
CCUACCAAGGCGACGACGGGUAGCCGGCCUGAGAGGGUGACCGGCCACACUGGGACUGAGACACGGCCCAGACUCCUACGGGAGGCAGCAGUGGGGGAAUAUUGCACAAUGGGCGCAAGCCUGAUGCAGCGACGCCGCGUGAGGGAUGACGGCCUUCGGGUUGUAAACCUCUUUCAGUAGGGAAGAAGCCUCUCGGGGUGACGGUACCUGCAGAAGAAGCGCCGGCUAACUACGUGCCAGCAGCCGCGGUAAUACGUAGGGCGCAAGCGUCCGGAAUUAUUGGGCGUAAAGAGCUCGUAGGCGGUCUGUCGCGUCUGCUGUGAAAAACGCGGGGGGCUCAACCCCCGCGGCCUGCAGUGGGGUACGGGCAGACUAGAGUGCGGUAGGGGGAGACUGGAAUUCCUGGUGUAGCGGUGGAAUGCGCAGAUAUCAGGAGGAACACCGGUGGCGAAGGCGGGUCUCUGGGCCGUUACUGACGCUGAGGAGCGAAAGCAUGGGGGAGCGAACAGGAUUAGAUACCCUGGU